GGGGAAUAUUGGACAGUGGGGGCAACCCUGAUCCGCCCAUGCCGCGUGUGUGAAGAAGGCCUUUUGGUUGUAAAGCACUUUAAGCAGUGAAGAAGACUCCAUGGUUAAUACCCAUGGACGAUGACAUUAGCUGCAGAAUAAGCACCGGCUAACUCUGUGCCAGCAGCCGCGGUAAUACAGAGGGUGCAAGCGUUAAUCGGAAUUACUGGGCGUAAAGCGAGCGUAGGUGGCUUGAUAAGUCAGAUGUGAAAGCCCCGGGCUUAACCUGGGAACGGCAUCUGAUACUGUUAGGCUAGAGUAGGUGAGAGGAAGGUAGAAUUCCAGGUGUAGCGGUGAAAUGCGUAGAGAUCUGGAGGAAUACCGAUGGCGAAGGCAGCCUUCUGGCAUCAUACUGACACUGAGGUUCGAGAGCGUGGGUAGCAAACAGGAUUAGAUACCCUGGUAGUCCACGCCGUAAACGAUGUCUACUAGUCGUUGGGUCCCUUGAGGACUUAGUGACGCAGCUAACGCAAUAAGUAGACCGCCUGGGGAGUACGGCCGCAAGGUUAAAACUCAAAUGAAUUGACGGGGGCCCGCACAAGCGGUGGAGCAUGUGGUUUAA
Molecule: ribosomal RNA, 601 nt
Filed under: uncultured bacterium
Lineage: Bacteria
Description: bacterial SSU rRNA
Rfam family: Bacterial small subunit ribosomal RNA
Source: RNAcentral